AUCGAUGUGGUGAAAUAGGUAAACACACUAUUUUAAGGAAAUAGGGGUUUUAUUAAAACCUUACGAGUUCAAGUCUCGUCAUCGAUA
RNAcentral lists this transfer RNA (87 nucleotides) under Candidatus Nasuia deltocephalincola. RNAcentral's name for it is "Candidatus Nasuia deltocephalinicola tRNA-Leu". It matches the Rfam family "tRNA". Rfam says of the family: Transfer RNA (tRNA) molecules are approximately 80 nucleotides in length. Their secondary structure includes four short double-helical elements and three loops (D, anti-codon, and T loops). The record is from RNAcentral. Lineage: Bacteria; Pseudomonadati; Pseudomonadota; Betaproteobacteria.